CCUUACUCUGUCUGACAAUGCUCUGGCUGAUCUCAAAUGACCUAUCAAAUUUGUCCCACCUGAAUCAUCUGGAGCAGGUCACCAUUCUCAACAAUCCCUUGCCUUGACCCUAUUCAGCCCACAGAUGAAUCAGGAGCCCCAAUUGGGCCACCUCUUGGGUUUGACUAUAGACCUUAUGUCAUCAACUGGUGCCUUAAUUUAAAGGUUCUAGAUGGAUACAAGGUGACACCAAAAGAGAGCCUGAAAGCAGAGUGGCUGUACUCGCAGGGCAAAGGGCGUGGGUUCCAGGUUGGAGAACAUGCAGCACUUGUCCACUACCUCUCAGGUGUAUGUCUGGCCGGAGGGGGCUGGGGAGGAGCAGAUCUCCCAGACGAUGACGACAAGUUGGCUAAGAUUCUCCAGCUGGCUAAGCAGCACCAGC
This is a non-coding RNA of Penaeus vannamei (Pacific white shrimp), 421 nucleotides long. The record is from RefSeq and is a predicted model, not a curated record. Lineage: Eukaryota; Metazoa; Arthropoda; Malacostraca; Decapoda; Penaeidae.